Molecule: long non-coding RNA, 866 nt
Filed under: Numida meleagris (helmeted guineafowl)
Lineage: Eukaryota; Metazoa; Chordata; Aves; Galliformes; Numididae
Description: lncRNA (ENSNMEG00000002829.1)
Source: RNAcentral
GCGCCAGCGUGGUAAUGGGACUCCAAUCUCAUCCUCGCUCGUUGCUGUGAGAAAAUAAAACCGAGAUGUAAAAAAGCUGAAAACACAUCCUCUGAUUGCUCGGGGAAUUUUCUUAGUCAUACGUUAUCUUUCCUAGUAGUUUAAGUUAUUUUGUCUCCACUAAAACCCAAAGCAAAACAUUGCCCUGACACUUUCCCCUUGAUUUCUGAUCUGCGGCAGCCAAAUUUAUUUUUAUCUCGUGUCGUCUUUUCCCCUAUGGUUAUGCAAAUCCUCGGAAUAAGGGGCAAGGGGAAAAGCUAAUUUUAAAGCUGGUAAAUUCCAGUGGGAGAUUUCUUCAGUCGCUCCGAGCGGGACUAUCCUGGGUGCUGCUGAAGAGCUGUGGCUACCUCCAAAUAACACAGGGGUCUGAUUCAGUCAUAGCCUCAAACAAAUGUCACCACCUCUACUGGAAAAUGUAGUGACCAGUGGAUUAGAGAAGCGAGAGGGCUGGAAAUGAGUCUGCUUCAAGUCUUCCCAUGUACCUUGCGGAGUGACAUCUGGAAAUGGUGGAGUUCCUAUUCUGAGGAUCAAACCUGCAUUUCCUCUAUGUGGUUGAAGGCAGUGCAUUAGUGGGAUGAAGUGCCAGCAGCACGCAGCUGAAUCUGCUGAUGACACUGGUGUUUGGACUAGACCAGAGCAUGACAGUACUGGCUGGCUCAUUUGGAAUCCAAGCCUGUGGUUGUGUAUCCUCCAUUGUCAUCGUGGAAAUCGAGACUGCCUUCACCGCACAUUUAUUUCAAGGCAAACAAACGAGACACUCAGAUACUGAUGUUCAGAGCCCUUUCCUCCUUGUUUACCUAAAUUUGGUUGAAGAGCCCUUGAGAUAA